ACGGGAGGCAGCAGUGAGGAAUAUUGGUCAAUGGACGAGAGUCUGAACCAGCCAAGUAGCGUGCAGGAUGACGGCCCUAUGGGUUGUAAACUGCUUUUGUACGGGAAUAAAGUGACCUACGCGUAGGUUUUUGCAUGUACCGUAAGAAUAAGGACCGGCUAAUUCCGUGCCAGCAGCCGCGGUAAUACGGAAGGUCCGGGCGUUAUCCGGAUUUAUUGGGUUUAAAGGGAGCGUAGGCCGUGCUUUAAGCGUGUUGUGAAAUGUAGGCGCCCAACGUCUGCACUGCAGCGCGAACUGGAGCACUUGAGUACGCAGGAAGUAGGCGGAAUUCGUCGUGUAGCGGUGAAAUGCUUAGAUAUGUCACAGAACACCGAUUGCGAAGGCAGCUGACUAAUCCGCAACUGACGCUCAGGCACGAAAGCGUGGGGAUCGAACAGGAUUAGAUACCCUGGUA
Molecule: ribosomal RNA, 454 nt
Filed under: uncultured Prevotella sp.
Lineage: Bacteria; Pseudomonadati; Bacteroidota; Bacteroidia; Bacteroidales; Prevotellaceae
Description: partial 16S ribosomal RNA
Rfam family: Bacterial small subunit ribosomal RNA
Source: RNAcentral